Spinacia oleracea (spinach) is the source of this 1032-nucleotide long non-coding RNA. RefSeq lists it as uncharacterized. The record is from RefSeq and is a predicted model, not a curated record. Lineage: Eukaryota; Viridiplantae; Streptophyta; Magnoliopsida; Caryophyllales; Amaranthaceae. The transcript has 3 exons.
AACAAUUUACUAGUCUAGCGGCAUUUAUCUAGCGGCAUUUAUGUUAAAUGUCACUAUAAUACGUCUUUAGGCGGCAUAUCUAGUGGCAUUUCUUAAAAAUGCCAGUAAAAGCCCAAAUUUUCUUUGGCGGUGUAUUAGCCCACUAGGCGCGGUGAUUUGGACCAAUUUAGUUUUAUCCGCGCUUCGAUUUUUUCCAACCCAAAGAAACCCUCACAUAACUCCAAAAACAGAACUCAAACCCUCGCCUCCAACAUUUUCUCUCUCAUCUACAAUUCUCACUACUCAAAUAUUGAUGCAAUUCUCUACCAACAGCUUUGAAAUUCUUUAUUUUCAUUACAAAAUUGGAGAUUCUUGCUAAAAAUACAAGAAUUGAGGUGGAAUUUGACCCGGUGGCUGCAACGGUGGUGGCGGCAUCAAGGGUUUGAUUGGUUAGGCGUUAGUGCUUCUUCGAUCGAACGGCUGAUGAUACUCAGGGAGCUACUGGCAAUAUUGUGAACACUCGAACAAAUAUGAGUCCUCCAUCAAUAAGCCUAGAAGAACUAGAAGAUCAAAUGAUUGAUGGGAGUUUAGAGAAUUGUUAAAGGCAUUGUUGCUAGGUAGAAGAGUUCAUGAUUUCAGUACUUAGUACUUAGUGAACAGGUUAUUUUUUUUUAUCAAGUGGGGUGAACUUGUCUAUUAUUUGUGAAGCUUGAUGCUGAUUGUUGCUGGUUUUGGAAGUUGUGAAGAGCCUAAAUAGCCUUUGAAUUGUGAAGCUUAAUGCUGAUUUUUGCUGAUUUUGGAAGUUGUGAAGAGCCUAAAUAGCCUUUCAAAUGGGUAUUUGCAUCAUGUGUAGUUAGUUUUGAAGUAGUUCGAAGUAUGAAUUUGAAGUUCAACAACAAGAAAGAUGUAACAAGUUUUUGGUGGUACCUUGGAUGAUGAUGUAACAACAAUUAUUCAUAUCUAUUAAAUAUAUAAUGAUCUCCCUAAUAUUAUACAUUUGUGUAUUGUUGUGAUGGAAGUGAAAUAUGAAGAUUUAAAGUAUUCUAGAAGAAA